RNAcentral lists this ribosomal RNA (468 nucleotides) under uncultured bacterium. RNAcentral's name for it is "bacterial SSU rRNA". It matches the Rfam family "Bacterial small subunit ribosomal RNA", at positions 171 to 655 of the family's 1533-position model. The record is from RNAcentral.
GCAUGCGGUCAUCGGAUUUAGAAACUGAUGACCAAAGCAGCAAUGCGCUUUGGGAGGGACCUGCGUCCCAUCAGCUAGUUGGUAGGGUAACGGCCUACCAAGGCGACGACGGGUAGGGGACCUGAGAGGGCGACCCCCCACAAUGGAACUGAAAUACGGUCCAUACACCUACGGGUGGCAGCAGUAGGGAAUAUUGCACAAUGGGCGAAAGCCUGAUGCAGCAACGCCGCGUGCACGAUGAAGGUCUUCGGAUCGUAAAGUGCUUUUCUGGGAGAUGAGAAUGGACAGUAUCCCAGGAAUAAGUCUCGGCUAACUACGUGCCAGCAGCCGCGGUAAAACGUAGGAGGCAAGCGUUAUCCGGAUUCACUGGGCGUAAAGCGCAUGCAGGCGGUUCGGUAAGUUGGGCGUGAAAGCUCCUGGCUUAACUAGGAGAGGUCGUUCAAUACUACCGGACUAGAGAACAGUAGA